RNAcentral lists this microRNA (21 nucleotides) under Arachis hypogaea (peanut). RNAcentral describes it as "ahy-miR3518". Lineage: Eukaryota; Viridiplantae; Streptophyta; Magnoliopsida; Fabales; Fabaceae. The record is from miRBase by way of RNAcentral.
UGACCUUUGGGGAUAUUCGUG